RNAcentral lists this ribosomal RNA (855 nucleotides) under Triticum aestivum (bread wheat). Its description in RNAcentral is "partial small subunit ribosomal RNA". The record is from RNAcentral. Lineage: Eukaryota; Viridiplantae; Streptophyta; Magnoliopsida; Poales; Poaceae.
AUGUAUAAUCAGAUUCUGGAAGCUCCUUUUUGGAGUCACGAGGCAUCUGAUGCUGUGAGGGCUUCUUGGAGAGACGAGUACGAAGCUUGUGAUGAUUUUUCUAUGGUUUUGCAGACAUCACAAAAUGGCUGCAGAAAAAUUCUUCAAAAGGAACCUUUAUCAUCUCUACCGCAUGAGUUUGAAAACGAAAUUAUGAAAGAUAAGGCCAAAAAGCUUUUGGCUAAUUACUCUGAAUAUCGGAAGGUACCUGGAGAUGGGAGUUGCUUUUACAGAUCGUUCAUAUACUCAUACCUGGAGCAGCUUGUGAAAGUAUCUCAUGAGGAGGAGCUACGUUUACUUGGUGCACUUGAACCAAUGUGGGAGAAAUUCCAAAGGCUUCAUUUGCCUGGUUCAUAUUCUGAUCUUCAUGAUCCUUUUGUGGGCUUUAUACUGGAAUGUAUGGAACAAAAACAAAAACUGUCAGUAAGUGGCUAUCAAGAGUGGCUUUUCCAGGAGAGUCAAAAUGAGCAGAAGUUUGCGAACAUACUUUUGUAUCUUCGACUUGUGACAGCUAUUGAGAUAUGCACUGAGGUUGAAACUUUUAAGUCAUACAUAACCGAACUUGGUCAAGGAAUGCCUGAUGCAAUAGGGUACUGCCUGGAGGAGGUUCUCCCAGUGGAGGAAGAUGCACAACAAGUGAAUCUCACUGCGCUCACCAAUGUCCUACAGGUGCCACUUCGAGUUGUUAACAUUGACGUUUCACCGAUUGAGGAGCUUAACAUCCACAUCAUCUACGAGUCACCAGAUUCCUCGGUUCCUACUGUGACACUACUGUAUAGACCAGGGCAUUAUGAUAUCAUCUACGAGAAGUCAUAG